UACAGAGGGGGCAAGCGUUGUUCGGAAUUACUGGGCGUAAAGGGCGCGUAGGCGGUCGUGCCAAGCCACUUGUGAAAUCUCCGGGCUUAACUCGGAACGGUCAAGUGAUACUGUCGGACUAGAGUACAGAAGGGGCAACUGGAAUUCUCGGUGUAGCGGUGAAAUGCGUAGAUAUCGAGAGGAACACCUGCGGCGAAGGCGGGUUGCUGGGCUGAUACUGACGCUGAGGCGCGAAAGCCAGGGGAGCGAACGGG
This 254-nucleotide ribosomal RNA is filed under the name uncultured bacterium. RNAcentral describes it as "partial 16S ribosomal RNA". It matches the Rfam family "Bacterial small subunit ribosomal RNA", at positions 524 to 776 of the family's 1533-position model. The record is from RNAcentral.